RNAcentral lists this long non-coding RNA (2125 nucleotides) under Homo sapiens (human). Its description in RNAcentral is "HSALNT0385602". Lineage: Eukaryota; Metazoa; Chordata; Mammalia; Primates; Hominidae. The record is from RNAcentral.
AAUCGAUGAUGAUUCCAUUAGAGUCCAUUUAAUGAUUCCAUUUGAUUCCAGUCUCUGAUGAUUACAUUCGAGUCCAUACGAUGAUUCCACUCAAUUCCAUAUCAUGAUGAUUCCAUUCGAUUCCAUUCGAUGAUUCCAUUCUAUUCUAUUCAAUGGUGAUUCCAUUCGAGUACAUUAGAUGAUUCCAUUCGAUUCCAUUCAAUGAUGAUUCUAUUUGUGUCCCUUAGAUGAUUCCACAUGAUUCCAUUAGAUGAUGAUACUAUUUCAGCCCAUCCAAUGAUUCCCUUCGAUUCCAUUCGAUGAGGAUUCCAUUCGAUUCAAUUCAUUGGUGAUUCUAUUCAAUUCAAUUCUUUGAUUCCAUUCCAUUCCAUUCGACAAUGAUUCCAUUCGAUUUCUUUCGAUGAUUCCACUCGAUUCCACUUGACAUUGAUUCCAUUCGAUUCCAUUCAAUGAUUCCGUUUGAUUCCAGUGGAUGAUGAUUGCCAUCGAUUCCAUUCGAUCACUCCAUUCUAUUCCAUUUGAUGAUGAUUACAUUCGAUUCCAUUUGAGGAUUCCAUCUGAUUCUAUUCGAGGAUUCCAUUUGAUUCCAUUCGAUGAUGAUUCCAUUCGAGUCCAUUCGAUGAUUUCAUUCGAGUACAUCCAAUGAUUCCAUUCGAGUCCAUUUGAUGAUUCCAUUUGAUUCCAUUUGAUUAUGAUUCUACUAGAGUCCAUUCAAUGACUCCAUUCGAAUCCAUUCAACAAUUCCAUUCGAGUCCAUUCGAUGAUUCCAUUUGAUGAUUCCAUUCGAGUCCAUUUAAUCAUUACAGUCGAGUCCAUUUGGUGAUUCCACUGGAUUUCUUUUGAUAAUGAUACCAUUCAAUUACAUUUGAUGAUGAUCCCAUUCAAUUUCAUUUGAUGAUGAUUCCAUUAGAGUCCAUUCCAUGAUUUCAUUCGAGUCCCUUCAUUGAUUCCAUCCGAUUUCAUUGGAUGAUGACUCCAUUCGAGUCCAUUCGAUGAUUCCACUCGAUUCCAUUAGAUGAUUCCAUUGGAGUCCAUUUGAUUGUUCCAUUCGAUUCCAUUCGAUUCCUUUCGAAGAUUAUUCCAUUUGAGUCCAUUCGAUGAUGAUUCCAUUCCAUUCCAUUCGAUGAUUCCGUUUGAUUCCAUUCGAUGAUUCCCUUUGAUUCCUUUCUAUGAUGAUUCCAUUCCAUUCCAUUCAAUGAUUCCAUUCGAAUCUAUUCCAUGAUGAUUCCUUUCGAUUCCAUUCGCUGAUGUUUCCGUUCAAUUCCAUUCGAUGAUGAUUCCAUUCGAUUCCAUUCAUUGAGGAUUCCAUUUGAUUCCAUUCAAUGAUGAUUCCAUUCUAUUCCAUUCAAUGAUUGCAUUCAAUUCCAUUCAAUGAUUAUCCCAUUAGAGUAAGUUCAACGAUUCCAUACAAUACCAUUCGAUGAUGAUUCCUUUUGAGUCCAUUCAAUGAUUUCAUUCAAGUCCAUUUGAUGAUUCCUUUCAAUUCCAUUCUAUGAUGAUUCCAUUCGAGUCCAUUCGAUGAUUCCAUUCGAUUGCAUUCGAUGAUUCCAUUAUAUUCCAUUCAACGAUGGUUCCAUUCGAGUCCAUUCGAUGAUUCCAUUAGAGUACAUUUAAUGAUUGCUUUGUUUUCAAUUCGAAGAUGAUUACAUUGGAUUCCAUUCUAUGAUUCCAUUCGAUUCCAUUCAAUGAUGAUUCUAUUUGUGUCCCUUAGAUGAUUCCACAUGAUUCCAUUAGAUGAUGAUACUAUUUCAGCCCAUCCAAUGAUUCCCUUCGAUUCCAUUCGAUGAGGAUUCCAUUCGAUUCAAUUCAUUGGUGAUUCUAUUCAAUUCAAUUCUUUGAUUCCAUUGCAUUCCAUUCGACAAUGAUUCCAUUCGAUUUCUUUCGAUGAUUCCACUCGAUUCCACUUGACAUUGAUUCCAUUCGAUUCCAUUCAAUGAUUCCGUUUGAUUCCAGUGGAUGAUGAUUGCCAUUGAUUCCAUUCGAUCACUCCAUUCUAUUCCAUUUGAUGAUGAUUACAUUCGAUUCCAUUUGAUGAUUCCAUCUGAUUCUAUUCGAGGAUUCCAUUUGAUUCCAUUCGAUGAUGAUUCCAUUUGAGUCCAUUCGAUGAUUUCAUUCGAGUACAUCC